Cercocebus atys (sooty mangabey) is the source of this 529-nucleotide long non-coding RNA. RefSeq lists it as uncharacterized. The transcript is spliced from 2 exons. Lineage: Eukaryota; Metazoa; Chordata; Mammalia; Primates; Cercopithecidae. The record is from RefSeq and is a predicted model, not a curated record.
GGUGGGACUGCCUUGGGUAGAGGCAAACACUGUCUGCCCCAGCGAAUGUGCACAUGGCCAGGACCCCUCACCACAGCCUGGGGACUGCCCACCUCGUCAGAGCCUGGCACAGCCCGGGCCUGUGCGGCAGCAGCACAUUGCAUCCAGGAGGCAAUGUCCGAGUGGGCAGGGCAGCUCCCUGCACCUGCAGGCCCCUCGGCUAGACUGGACAGUGCCAUCCACCUGGCUCACUGGCCCACAUGCCACGCUGGGGGGUGAGCCAGGAUAGGGAGUCCAACUUGUUCACAGAGGAAGGACAUCAGGCCAGGAUGGGCCUAUGGGUUAGCUCACCACCCCGCUCUUUGUUCUCAAACAGCCAGAUCGUAAGCCCCAUGAAGCCAAACUCAGACCUCAAACCAGGGUCACAGAAACUUCUGAUAGUCAGUGCUGGUGCUCGGCAGGCUCUCAUGCUCUGAGAAGAGCUCCCUCAUGCCUGGGGACCACCAAAAGGCACGAGCCUUCACCAGGGUGCCGCUGGGACCAAGAUGUU